RNAcentral lists this ribosomal RNA (253 nucleotides) under uncultured bacterium. RNAcentral's name for it is "partial 16S ribosomal RNA". It matches the Rfam family "Bacterial small subunit ribosomal RNA", at positions 524 to 776 of the family's 1533-position model. The record is from RNAcentral.
UACGUAGGGCGCAAGCGUUAUCCGGAAUUAUUGGGCGUAAAGAGCUCGUAGGCGGUUUGUCGCGUCUGCCGUGAAAGUCCGGGGCUCAACUCCGGAUCUGCGGUGGGUACGGGCAGACUAGAGUGAUGUAGGGGAGACUGGAAUUCCUGGUGUAGCGGUGAAAUGCGCAGAUAUCAGGAGGAACACCAAUGGCGAAGGCAGAUCUCUGGGCCGAAACUGACGCUGAGGCGCGAAAGCCAGGGGAGCAAACGGG